AACGAACGCUGGCGGCAUGCCUAACACAUGCAAGUCGAACGAGACCUUCGGGUCUAGUGGCGCACGGGUGCGUAACGCGUGGGAACCUGCCCUUAGGUUCGGAAUAACUCCCCGAAAGGGGUGCUAAUACCGGAUAAUGUCUUCGGACCAAAGAUUUAUCGCCUUUGGAUGGGCCCGCGUUGGAUUAGCUAGUUGGUAGGGUAAAAGCCUACCAAGGCGACGAUCCAUAGCUGGUCUGAGAGGAUGAUCAGCCACACUGGGACUGAGACACGGCCCAGACCCCUAGGGGGGGAAGCAGGGGGGAAUAUUGGAAAAGGGGCGAAAGCCUGAUCCAGCAAUGCCGGGGGAGUGAGGAAGGCCUUAGGGUUGAAAAGCUCUUUUACCCGGGAUGAUAAGGACAGUACCGGGAGAAAAAGCCCCGGCUAACUCCGU
This 432-nucleotide ribosomal RNA is filed under the name uncultured bacterium. RNAcentral's name for it is "partial 16S ribosomal RNA". It matches the Rfam family "Bacterial small subunit ribosomal RNA", at positions 29 to 506 of the family's 1533-position model. The record is from RNAcentral.